This 556-nucleotide ribosomal RNA is filed under the name uncultured Glomeromycotina. RNAcentral describes it as "eukaryotic LSU rRNA". It matches the Rfam family "Eukaryotic large subunit ribosomal RNA", at positions 38 to 592 of the family's 3401-position model. The record is from RNAcentral. Lineage: Eukaryota; Fungi; Glomeromycota.
GCAUAUCAAUAAGCGGAGGAAAAGAAACUAACCAGGAUUCCCCUAGUAACGGCGAGUGAAGCGGGAACAGCUCAAAUUUUAAAUCUGGCCGGCGUGGUCGGUCCGAGUUGUAAUUUGAAGAAGCGGUUAUCACGUUUUCGUUUGGGUUUAAGUUCCUUGGAACAGGACAUCAGAGAGGGUGAGAAUCCCGUCUGUGAUCCAAUCGGUUACGGUACGAUAUCGUUUCUAAGAGUCGAGUUGUUUGGGAUUGCAGCUCAAAAUGGGUGGUAAAUUCCAUCUAAGGCUAAAUAUAGGCGAGAGACCGAUAGCGAACAAGUACCGUGAGGGAAAGAUGAAAAGCACUUUGAAAAGAGAGUUAAACAGUACGUGAAAUUGUUGAUAGGGAAACGAUUGAAGUCAGUCGUGCCAGCGAGAAAUCAGCUUACAGGCUACUGUGGGUGCACUUUUUCGCAAGGCAGGUUAACAUCGAUUUUUGUUGCGUCAUAAUGAUUGUAGGAAGGUGGCUCCUUCGGGAGUGUUAUAGCCUACUUUAGAUGGCGUGAUAGAGAUCGAGGAU